GUACACGCUGUGACUAGCAUAUCAAUAAGCGGAGGAAAAGAAACUAACAAGGAUUCCCUCAGUAACGGCGAGUGAAGCGGGAAGAGCUCAAAUUUGAAAUCUUGAAAGGUCACCUUUCACGAACUGUAGUUUAAAGAAGUGUUUUCUGUUACGAUCGUAAUAUAAGUUCUUUGGAAUAGGACAUCACAGAGGGUGAGAAUCCCGUCUAUGAUUGCGAUUUGUAGCUUUGUGAUACACUUUCGAAGAGUCGGGUUGUUUGGGAAUGCAGCCCAAAACGGGAGGUAAAUUUCUUCUAAGGCUAAAUAUUGGCGAGAGACCGAUAGCGAACAAGUACCGUGAGGGAAAGAUGAAAAGAACUUUGAAAAGAGAGUUAAAUAGUACGUGAAAUUGUCAAAAGGGAAGCGUUUAACACCAGUGUUGUUUUCUGAAAAUCAACCUCUGUUAGCUUUAUGCAUGUUUGUUUAGACCUAAUCAGCUAUCUUGCAUGUUCUAUUGUUUGCAGUGGUGCACUUUUCAGUUUACAGGUCAACAUCAGUUUUUUUUACCGUAAAAAAGUUAAAGAAAGGUAGCUCAUGGCUCCGGUCGUGAGUGUUAUAGUCUUUUUCCUAUGCGGUAGGAGAGACUGAGGUCUGCAGUGUAGGCUAUUUGGCUAGAUACUCAGGUGCUAUGUGAUACCAUUUCAUAAACAACUUGUUGAUUAUGUUUUGUCUAUUGCAUACUCGCUUGUACUAUCAUACCUACGCUUAGGAUGUUGAGUAGCGACAUACGCAC
This 771-nucleotide ribosomal RNA is filed under the name uncultured Neocallimastigales. RNAcentral describes it as "partial large subunit ribosomal RNA". It matches the Rfam family "Eukaryotic large subunit ribosomal RNA", at positions 22 to 646 of the family's 3401-position model. Lineage: Eukaryota; Fungi; Neocallimastigomycota; Neocallimastigomycetes; Neocallimastigales. The record is from RNAcentral.